AGCCUCAGUGCUGCGGCUCAGGUGGCGCUGUGGAAGCGAGACGCACGAGAUUACAGCUGUUGGAACGGUCCUGCGAUAGCACACAGUUGUUUCUGUGUUGCCAUUUCCCAUUUGUGAGGCGCAAGCGAGGCUUCACUUCUGCAGGCUAUCCGCUACACUGGAGCAUCUGCCAACACAUAUUGAAUCGAACUUGUGUGGGCUCACAGCGAUGGAAAGUCGAGCAAAACCAUACAUGGGUUCGGCGUAAUCUUCUCAGCCGGCAAGGGAGGAGCUUCACCAACCACUUCAGACUACGUCGACAACUGGACGCCCUCCUUGCUCCAAGCUCAGCGGUGAAGGUCUACCUGCGUAUUUGACCAGGAGUUACGGGCAGGGCCUUCACGAGUCCUGCGUUCUAUGCAUGUGAUAAAACAACUGUACAGUCCACCACCGCCACUCUGGACAAUAAUCAAAAACGUUUUUUACCAAGGUGUUUCCAGAGGGCUGCAGCCAGACGCAGCUGUUUCAGGAGGUGGUGCGGAAUCUACUUGAUGCCUUCGUACGUGGAGCCCAUGUGUAGCUCUUUGCGUGUGGCCCUACCGCUUGCCGCAAGACCCACACCAUGCAGGGUCCACCGCAUGACCCAGGAGUCGUGCAGCCCACCCUUGAAAGGUGUGCAAGGGGGCACCAGCGCGCCCCGACUGCUUUGACGACGUCCUCCAGCUCGGCGCAGAAGAGGAGGCCUCUGCGCUCUUGCGCAAAAGCAAAUUACUGGACGAUAAGGCGGCCCGCAGCACUGUGGACUUCAGCACCUUCCACAUGGCCUCAAAUAGCAGCGAUGAGUCGCUACUACAUAGCUGUUACAGCAAAUAUGACGAAGCACAAGUAUGCUUACCUAUUGCGCUUGUCUCGGCUUUAAGGGACACUAUAGAGACUAAUUGGGUUUAGACUGACGGCGUUCUUUUACAACUAUUCUCUUUGCUUUCUCAUUAAGAAAUUAACAGAAGAUGAAAACGCAACAUUGCAUUAAAACACUUUUGGCAAGUUCAGCACCGGCACGUUAGUGUGACCUCAUAGAUUCAAAGGUAUUUUUUCAUGCUCGGAGGUGUUAGGGAUUCAUGAAAUUUCCCUAAAGUUUCCAAGCUCAGUUAGUUAUUUAUAUUGGACUGUAGUCCACUUAACUGAACUUAACUCCCAUCAGCUGAGGCAGCCACAAAGAAGAAAUGCGGCCAGUGGCGCAACAUUGUCAAGCUGGGUGAUGACCGGGCGAAGCGCGCAUUUGUGCGCUGGCACAUCAAAGUGCCCAUGCACUCGGCUGAUGAGGCGUACCGGCUCUUCUGCCUGGCGCGCAACAACCAGACUUUUGCCGAGACUCGGCUCAACCGCAGCUCGAGCCGCAGCCACUGCGUCUUCAUGGUCCGGCUUGUGAGCUCAAGGUUGGAAACCCAAAACUGGCACGUCAACACAAUGAUGCUCUGUGACCUGGCGGCUUCGGAGAGACAAUCCAAAGCGGGCAGUAAUGGGUCACGGCUUCGCGAAGCUGACUGCAUUAACAACUCUUUGGUGCUGCUCAGCCGCUGCUUGGAGGGCCUACGUAACAAGGAUGCAUCCAAGAAGGAUGCAUCCAAUAAUUAAUACAGCCAAUGCGCAUCUGGCUGCACAUUGCCUGGCCUACAAGUGUGAACCACGGUUCCCUCAGCUAAACAUUCUGGGCAGAGGUCAGGAUACUACUGCUCGUGAACUUUUGGAAGCUUUUCCUAUCAGCAACAGAGGCAUGGAUUGCGCCAGUGACACGCCGAUCUGCUUAUUUGGUAGCGGAACACGCCUUCCUGAAUUUUCGUCUUCUUUGCUACGAAGAUUGUGUACACAUGCGCUAUGUUGUGUAUAUCUAUUCUUUCUUGUUUCUUCUGGGCGAACCAAUAAAUCUCUUGAGAGUUGCG
Long non-coding RNA from Dermacentor albipictus, 1919 nucleotides. RefSeq lists it as uncharacterized. NCBI's taxonomy places the organism in Eukaryota, Metazoa, Arthropoda, Arachnida, Ixodida, Ixodidae. The record is from RefSeq and is a predicted model, not a curated record.